UUAAUUGUACAGGUCAAGUGCAAUAAGGCGCGGAUGGAUUGCACGGAGGUGGCUGGAAUUUUCUAAACAACCGGCAGUUUCAAUUCCUGAUCAGAAUAGUCUAUAGGAUCUAUUAACGUCUGUUGCAUGCGAGACAGCCCGACCUUGGGCCCGCUGUAUACUGUAAAAGAUGCAUUCCCUAGUCUCCAGGCAAGCAACGUUUGGAGCUGCAGCAACAGCCUCGAAGAGGAGAGAACCUAAACUGGGAGCUGUGCCUCGUAUUCCGUGGAUCAUUAGGAGAAAUACAAUCAAAGGAAGGUACUAAUUGAUAUCGGGAGAGAGAGAUAUUCUCACCUCCACCCACAAGGAAGUGGCGUUCUUGAUCCUUCUUCAGUACUUCAAGGUUGACUGUGCAGCUAAAUCAAACUUUUUUUUACUGCUG
Molecule: long non-coding RNA, 421 nt
Organism: Rhineura floridana
Lineage: Eukaryota; Metazoa; Chordata; Lepidosauria; Squamata; Rhineuridae
Exons: 3
Source: RefSeq, a predicted model, not a curated record